RNAcentral lists this ribosomal RNA (465 nucleotides) under uncultured bacterium. RNAcentral describes it as "partial 16S ribosomal RNA". It matches the Rfam family "Bacterial small subunit ribosomal RNA", at positions 28 to 507 of the family's 1533-position model. The record is from RNAcentral.
GAUAAACGCUGACAGAAUGCUUAACACAUGCAAGUCGAUGAUGGGAGCUAGCUUGCUAGAAGAAGUCAUGGCGGACGGGUGAGUAACGUGUAAAGAACUUACCAUAUAGACUGGGAUAACAGAGGGAAACUUCUGAUAAUACUGGAUAAGUUAGUAGUAGCAUUACUAAGUAAUGAAAGGUAGCAAUACGCUAUAUGAGAGCUUUGCAUCCUAUUAGCUAGUUGAUGGGGUAAAAGCCUACCAAGGCGAUGAUAGGUAGCCGGCCUGAGAGGGUGGACAGCCACAAGGGGACUGAGAUACGGCCCUUACUCCUACGGGAGGCGGCAGUGGGGAAUAUUGGACAAUGGAGGCAACUCUGAUCCAGCAAUUCUGUGUGUGUGAAGAAGGUUUUAGGACUGUAAAACACUUUUAGUAGGGAAGAAAGAAAUGACGGUACCUACAGAAGAAGCGACGGCUAAAUACGUG